Molecule: ribosomal RNA, 217 nt
Filed under: uncultured bacterium
Lineage: Bacteria
Description: partial 16S ribosomal RNA
Rfam family: Bacterial small subunit ribosomal RNA
Source: RNAcentral
UACGAGAGGCCCAAACGUUAUUCGGAAUUACUGGGCUUAAAGAGUUCGUAGGCGGCGCAACAAGUGGGGUGUGAAAGUCCUCGGCUCAACCGAGGAAUUGCGCUCCAAACUGUUGUGCUUGAGGGACCUAGAGGUGAGCGGAACUGAUGGUGGAGCGGUGAAAUGCGCAGAUAUCAGGAGGAACACCGAUGGCGAAGGCAGGUCUGCUGGCACUACU